AGUUUGAUUCUGCUCAGAUUGAACGCUGGCGGCAGGCCUAACACAUGCAAGUCGAGCGGAUGAGAAGAGCUUGCUCUUCGAUUCAGCGGCGGACGGGUGAGUAAUGCCUAGGAAUCUGCCUGGUAGUGGGGGACAACGUUUCGAAAGGAACGCUAAUACCGCAUACGUCCUACGGGAGAAAGCAGGGGACCUUCGGGCCUUGCGCUAUCAGAUGAGCCUAGGUCGGAUUAGCUAGUUGGUGAGGUAAUGGCUCACCAAGGCGACGAUCCGUAACUGGUCUGAGAGGAUGAUCAGUCACACUGGAACUGAGACACGGUCCAGACUCCUACGGGAGGCAGCAGUGGGGAAUAUUGGACAAUGGGCGAAAGCCUGAUCCAGCCAUGCCGCGUGUGUGAAGAAGGUCUUCGGAUUGUAAAGCACUUUAAGUUGGGAGGAAGGGCAGUAAGCGAAUACCUUGCUGUUUUGACGUUACCGACAGAAUAAGCACCGGCUAACUCUGUGCCAGCAGCCGCGGUAAUACAGAGGGUGCAAGCGUUAAUCGGAAUUACUGGGCGUAAAGCGCGCGUAGGUGGUUUGUUAAGUUGGAUGUGAAAGCCCCGGGCUCAACCUGGGAACUGCAUCCAAAACUGGCAAGCUAGAGUACGGUAGAGGGUGGUGGAAUUUCCUGUGUAGCGGUGAAAUGCGUAGAUAUAGGAAGGAACACCAGUGGCGAAGGCGACCACCUGGACUGAUACUGACACUGAGGUCGAAACGCCUUACG
RNAcentral lists this ribosomal RNA (760 nucleotides) under Ectopseudomonas oleovorans. RNAcentral describes it as "bacterial SSU rRNA". It matches the Rfam family "Bacterial small subunit ribosomal RNA", at positions 10 to 766 of the family's 1533-position model. The record is from RNAcentral. Lineage: Bacteria; Pseudomonadati; Pseudomonadota; Gammaproteobacteria; Pseudomonadales; Pseudomonadaceae.